UCCGAUAUGGUGUAACGGCUAACAUUACCGCCUUUCAAAGAUGAGGAACCUAACCCGUUGUCGCGGUAGCUCGGGGUUCGAUUCCCCGUAUCGGAA
Non-coding RNA from Coprinopsis sp. MPI-PUGE-AT-0042, 96 nucleotides. The record is from the annotation of a GenBank genome assembly. NCBI's taxonomy places the organism in Eukaryota, Fungi, Basidiomycota, Agaricomycetes, Agaricales, Psathyrellaceae.